ACAUUUAAAGCAUAUCACCCAACCCCGGCUAAGGUGUUUCGGAACGGACUGUGCAUUCAGAUACAAAAAUAUGUAAACAAGCGCGAAAGCUGUCAAUGAAGUGAUUUUUUACACAAUUUUAUUGGCAAUUGUCGCAUUUUGAUUCUGUUAUACGCGAAUGAGGUAGCGGGGCAUAUCAAACGCUACCAAGUUCAUUCCGCUAGAGUUGUUCAUUAAUAGAUACAUUAUAAACAAUCCCGUCGACAGUCUUGUUACACCGCAGCUCGUCUCACUCGUCUCAUUCGCCUCAUUCGCACAAUUCAUUGUAUCUUUAUUGCUGACACGUUCGAAUAAGUACAACAACAUCUGAAAUUCUUCCAUAACAAAGAAAGUACGAACAGGCAGUGAAGAGCUUAAAUUGAAUUCAAUAACACAGAAUCAGAUCUCAUAAGGCAUAAGUAAGAACGUGCUUACUCGUUGUUUAAGUAUUGUAGCUGCUAUACAUUCGUGGAAGUCAUUGGCAAAGUUGUCUCUAAUGAUACCCAUCAACUCCCACAUACGCUGCUGCUUAGGCUCAUUUAAAUUAAUUUGUAGCACAUUUGCACUUAAUAAGUCAAGCGCAUUGCUUCGAGAGACGUUUCUUUAUUAGAGGAGUGAGGGGUGGGGUGUUAACAGUAGCAGAACAGUUCAGAGUAGAUAAUUCCAUGGAGCGCACAACUGCAGCUUUGAUGGAAAGUGAUACGACUUUGAUGAGUGAUAAAUUGCGUUUGAUAACUGGAGGGUUUUCCUAUGGAAAUCAGAUACGCGUAUACAUGUAUUCAUUAUGUUUACUUGAACUACAUUUUCCAGUUUGUUUAAACGAACGAAGAAGCAUAAAACGAAAUAUCUAAAGAAGGAUAAAGGAUUUUAUUUGUAUUAUUUAUUUUUCAGUUUCUAAACUUAAAGCGUUUCCAACAACCAUGAUUGCUUCUCUGCUCCCCUAUCCGCAUGGAUAAUGACACGUGGUGGUGUUAAUAGCGCCACAAUUUUACAUUUCGUCAACUAGGAAAAUGCUUAAGGAUAUUUUUGUAUUAGAUGAGAGUGCUAAGGAUACGAGUAAAACACAAACGACAAAAACACCUU
Molecule: long non-coding RNA, 1101 nt
Organism: Teleopsis dalmanni
Lineage: Eukaryota; Metazoa; Arthropoda; Insecta; Diptera; Diopsidae
Exons: 3
Source: RefSeq, a predicted model, not a curated record